This 443-nucleotide ribosomal RNA is filed under the name uncultured bacterium. RNAcentral's name for it is "partial 16S ribosomal RNA". It matches the Rfam family "Bacterial small subunit ribosomal RNA", at positions 338 to 795 of the family's 1533-position model. The record is from RNAcentral.
CCUACGGGAGGCAGCAGUGGGGAAUAUUGGACAAUGGGGGGAACCCUGAUCCAGCGACGCCGCGUGAGUGAAGAAGUAUUUCGGUAUGUAAAGCUCUAUCAGCAGGGAAGACAGAAAUGACGGUACCUGACUAAGAAGCACCGGCUAACUACGUGCCAGCAGCCGCGGUAAGACGUAGGGGGCAAGCGUUAGCCGGAUUUACUGGGUGGAAAGGGAGCGUAGACGGCGAUGCAAGUCUGAAGUGAAAGGCGGGGGCCCAACCCCCGGACUGCUUUGGAAACUGUAUGGCUGGAGUGCAGGAGAGGUAAGUGGAAUUCCUAGUGUAGCGGUGAAAUGCGUAGAUAUUAGGAGGAACACCAGUGGCGAAGGCGGCUUACUGGACUGUAACUGACGUUGAGGCUCGAAAGCGUGGGGAGCAAACAGGAUUAGAUACCCCAGUAGUC